Molecule: ribosomal RNA, 432 nt
Filed under: uncultured bacterium
Lineage: Bacteria
Description: bacterial SSU rRNA
Rfam family: Bacterial small subunit ribosomal RNA
Source: RNAcentral
GCGAACGGGUGAGUAAUGCAUCGGAACGUGCCCAGUCGUGGGGGAUAACUGCUCGAAAGAGCAGCUAAUACCGCAUACGACCUGAGGGUGAAAGCGGGGGACCGUAAGGCCUCGCGCGAUUGGAGCGGCCGAUGUCAGAUUAGCUAGUUGGUGGGGUAAAGGCCUACCAAGGCAACGAUCUGUAGUUGGUCUGAGAGGACGACCAGCCACACUGGGACUGAGACACGGCCCAGACUCCUACGGGAGGCAGCAGUGGGGAAUUUUGGACAAUGGGCGCAAGCCUGAUCCAGCAAUGCCGCGUGCAGGAAGAAGGCCUUCGGGUUGUAAACUGCUUUUGUCAGGGAAGAAAUCUUCCGGGCUAAUACCCCGGGAGGAUGACGGUACCUGAAGAAUAAGCACCGGCUAACUACGUGCCAGCAGCCGCGGUAAUAC